UGCUGGGCUAUCGUAGUCCGGCAAUUGGAAUGAGAACAAUUUAAAUCCCUUAACGAGGAACAAUUGGAGGGCAAGUCUGGUGCCAGCAGCCGCGGUAAUUCCAGCUCCAAUAGCGUAUAUUAAAGUUGUUGCAGUUAAAAAGCUCGUAGUUGGAUUUCGGGGCGGCCCGACUGGUCCGCCGCGAGGUGAGCACUGGUCGGCCGCUCUUCCUCUCGGAAGCCCCGACUGCUCUUCGUUGCAGUGGUCGGGGAGUUCGGGACGUUUACUUUGAAAAAAUUAGAGUGUUCAAGGCAGGCCGUCGCCUGAAUACAUUAGCAUGGAAUAAUGGAAGAGGACCUCGGUCCCGUUUUGUUGGUUUCUUGGACCGAAGUAAUGAUUAAGAGGGACAGUUGGGGGCAUUCGUAUUUAAUUGUCAGAGGUGAAAUUCUCGGAUUUAUGAAAGACGAACGACUGCGAAAGCAUUGCCAA
This 468-nucleotide ribosomal RNA is filed under the name Mycale laevis. RNAcentral's name for it is "SSU rRNA". It matches the Rfam family "Eukaryotic small subunit ribosomal RNA", at positions 484 to 961 of the family's 1831-position model. The record is from RNAcentral. Lineage: Eukaryota; Metazoa; Porifera; Demospongiae; Poecilosclerida; Mycalidae.